This 253-nucleotide ribosomal RNA is filed under the name uncultured bacterium. RNAcentral's name for it is "partial 16S ribosomal RNA". It matches the Rfam family "Bacterial small subunit ribosomal RNA", at positions 524 to 776 of the family's 1533-position model. The record is from RNAcentral.
UACGGAGGGUGCAAGCGUUAAUCGGAAUUACUGGGCGUAAAGCGCACGCAGACGGUUUGUUAAGUCAGAUGUGAAAUCCCCGGGCUCAACCUGGGAACUGCAUCCUGAACUGGCAAGCUUGAGUCUCGCAGAGGGGGGUAGAAUUCCAGGUGUAGCAGUGAAAUGCGUAGAGAUGUGGAGGAAUACCGGUGGCGAAGGCUGCCCCCUGGAAGAAGACUGACGCUCAGGUGCGAAAGCGUGGGGAGCAAACAGG